CCUACGGGUGGCAGCAGUGAGGAAUAUUGGUCAAUGGCCGAGAGGCUGAACCAGCCAAGUCGCGUGAGGGAAGACGGCCCUACGGGUUGUAAACCUCUUUUGUCGGGGAGCAAAGCGAGUCACGUGUGACUCAUUGAGAGUACCCGAAGAAAAAGCAUCCGCUAACUCCGUGCCAGCAGCCGCGGUAAUACGGAGGAUGAGAGCGUUAUCCGGAUUUAUUGGGUGUAAAGGGUGCGCAGGCGGAGGUGCAAGUCAGCGGUCAAAUUGCGGGGCUCAACCCCGUACUGCCGUUGAAACUGCAUGCCUUGAGUGCGCGAGAAGUAUGCGGAAUGCGUGGGGUAGCGGUGAAAUGCAUAGAUAUCACGCAGAACUCCGAUUGCGAAGGCAGCAUACCGGCGCGCAACUGACGCUCAUGCACGAAAGCGUGGGUAUCGAACAGGAUUAGAUACCCCAGUAGUC
Molecule: ribosomal RNA, 459 nt
Filed under: uncultured bacterium
Lineage: Bacteria
Description: partial 16S ribosomal RNA
Rfam family: Bacterial small subunit ribosomal RNA
Source: RNAcentral